This is a long non-coding RNA of Magallana angulata, 469 nucleotides long. RefSeq lists it as uncharacterized. The record is from RefSeq and is a predicted model, not a curated record. Lineage: Eukaryota; Metazoa; Mollusca; Bivalvia; Ostreida; Ostreidae. The transcript has 3 exons.
ACUCGUUAACGCUUAUCAUUUUGUCGAUUUGUUUGCUCGGGACUCUUACCGAGUGCAAGAGGAGGAGGAAAGGCAAGUGGAGAGUUGCAGGAGAUCUUAGUUAUACAAGAGACAGCGGAUGGGCAGGUAAACUCGGUGUGUCCCUGUCCUGGAGGAGGAAAAAACGGUCUAUAAAUGAAGAAGUGUUUGACGUCAGAAUGUACAUGGUUAACACGAAUACCGGAAGUAGAUUUAAACUCAACCCUUGCGAUUUUGCAUUAUAUGACCAAGAUGACGACUUAGAUGUAACAAUGGCAGAUUUUGAUAUACUAUUUUCCGAUGUGGACAAAACAAAACAUGUCCUAGAAGAACAGCUUUUUACAGAGUUAGAUGCUGACAAUGAUAAGAAAAUUUCUGUUACGGAGUUUGAGGAAAAACGAGGACUAGUGUUUUCCAAAAACACAUGUGUCAUCAAUGCUGCAUAGGUAUG